AAACUCUGAUAUCUCCUAAUAUGCAGAUAAAUCUUUCGCCUUUUACUAAAACUUUUCAUGGGGAGGCACAACACAACGAGUCAUAUUUUAUUUUUUCCAAUGGAGUACUUCACAUUCUUU
Molecule: small nuclear RNA, 120 nt
Filed under: Schistosoma mattheei
Lineage: Eukaryota; Metazoa; Platyhelminthes; Trematoda; Strigeidida; Schistosomatidae
Description: U5 spliceosomal RNA
Rfam family: U5 spliceosomal RNA
About the family: U5 RNA is a component of both types of known spliceosome.
Source: Rfam by way of RNAcentral